UACGGAGGGUGCGAACGUUGUCCGGAAUCACUGGGCGUAAAGGGCGCGUAGGCGGCUCAUGAAGGCUGUGGUGAAAGUCCGGGGCUCAACCUCGGAUCGGCCCGUGGCGACUCGUGGGCUGGAGCACUGUAGAGGCGGGUGGAAUUCCCGGGUGUAGCGGUGGAAUGCGUAGAGAUCCGGGAAGAACACCAGUGGCGAAGGCG
Molecule: ribosomal RNA, 203 nt
Filed under: uncultured bacterium
Lineage: Bacteria
Description: partial 16S ribosomal RNA
Rfam family: Bacterial small subunit ribosomal RNA
Source: RNAcentral